GCCUGGGUGGCUCAGUCGGUUAAGUGUCUGACUUCGGCUCAGGAUCUCACAGUUCGUGGGUUUGAGCCCCACAUUGGGUU
Molecule: transfer RNA, 80 nt
Filed under: Felis catus (domestic cat)
Lineage: Eukaryota; Metazoa; Chordata; Mammalia; Carnivora; Felidae
Also listed under: 2 other names
Rfam family: tRNA
About the family: Transfer RNA (tRNA) molecules are approximately 80 nucleotides in length.
Source: Rfam by way of RNAcentral